Molecule: ribosomal RNA, 408 nt
Filed under: uncultured bacterium
Lineage: Bacteria
Description: partial 16S ribosomal RNA
Rfam family: Bacterial small subunit ribosomal RNA
Source: RNAcentral
GACGAACGCUGGCGGCGUGCUUAACACAUGCAAGUCGAACGAAGUGGCGAACGGGUGAGUAACGCGUAAUCAACCUGCCCUUCAGAGGGGGGCAACAGUUGGAAACGACUGCUAAUACCGCAUACUGAAGGAGGGGCAUGCGGCGGAUUAGGUAGUUGGAGGGGUAACGGCCCACCAAGGCGAUGAUCAGUAGACGGUCUGAGCUGUUGAACGGCUACAGUGGGACUGAUAAACGGCCCAGACUCCUACGGGAGGCAGCAGGGGGGAAUCUGCCGCAAUGGACGAAAGUCUGACGGAGCAACGCCGCGUGAGUGAUGACGGCCUUCGGGUUGUAAAGCUCUGUUAAUCGGGACGCGGUACCGGAAUAGAAAGCCACGGCUAACUACGUGCCAGCCGCCGCGGUAAUAC